Molecule: ribosomal RNA, 253 nt
Filed under: uncultured bacterium
Lineage: Bacteria
Description: partial 16S ribosomal RNA
Rfam family: Bacterial small subunit ribosomal RNA
Source: RNAcentral
UACGUAGGGUGCGAGCGUUGUCCGGAAUUACUGGGCGUAAAGAGCUCGUAGGUGGUUUGUCGCGUUGUUCGUGAAAACCGGGGGCUUAACCCUCGGCGUGCGGGCGAUACGGGCAGACUUGAGUACUGCAGGGGAGACUGGAAUUCCUGGUGUAGCGGUGGAAUGCGCAGAUAUCAGGAGGAACACCGGUGGCGAAGGCGGGAUCCUGGGCCAGUACUGACGCUGAUGCGCGAAAGCUAGGGGAGCAAACGGG